AACGCGAAGAACCUUACCUACCCUUGACAUGUCAGGAACUUGCCAGAGACGCGAUUGUGCUCGAAAGAGAACCGUAACACAGGUGCUGCAUGGCUGUCGUCAGCUCGUGUCGUGAGAUGUUGGGUUAAGACCCGCAACGAGCGCAACCCUUGCCAUUAGUUGCUACGAAAGGGCACUCUAAUGGGACUGCCGGUGACAAACCGGAGGAAGGUGGGGAUGACGUCAAGUCCUCAUGGCCCUUAUAGGUGGGGCUACACACGUCAUACAAUGGCUGGUACAAAGGGUUGCCAACCCGCGAGGGGGAGCUAAUCCCAUAAAGCCAGUCGUAGUCCGGAUCGUAGUCUGCAACUCGACUACGUGAAGUCGGAAUCGCUAGUAAUCGUGGAUCAGAAUGUCACGGUGAAUACGUUCCCGGGCCUUGUACACACCG
Molecule: ribosomal RNA, 430 nt
Filed under: uncultured beta proteobacterium 272-1-2
Lineage: Bacteria; Pseudomonadati; Pseudomonadota; Betaproteobacteria
Description: bacterial SSU rRNA
Rfam family: Bacterial small subunit ribosomal RNA
Source: RNAcentral